UAGAACUAAAAGACCUAAACAGUCAAAUGAGAGGGUAACGCCUUGAAGGGCUGUCGAUAAUACUCCGAAUUGCAUUAAAUUAAUUAAGUAAUUUAAUGUAAUAAGCUCGGUGAAGUCGGGUGAGAUUAACUCCUAAUUCAAUCUUCUGAUUGAAAGGAAAUGUACCUAGAGGUAGGUAAGGUUAGGAUAGCUCGGUCGCCUAUAAA
This is a non-coding RNA of Halobacteroides halobius DSM 5150, 206 nucleotides long. Lineage: Bacteria; Bacillati; Bacillota; Clostridia; Halanaerobiales; Halobacteroidaceae. The record is from Rfam.